CCUACGGGUGGCAGCAGUGGGGAAGAUUGCACAAUGGGCGCAAGCCUGAUGCAGCCAUGCCGCGUGUGUGAAGAAGGCCUUCGGGUUGUAAAGCACUUUCAGCGGGGAGGAAGGCGGUGAGGUUAAUAACCUCAUCGAUUGACGUUACCCGCAGAAGAAGCACCGGCUAACUCCGUGCCAGCAGCCGCGGUAAUACGGAGGGUGCAAGCGUUAGUCGGAAUUACUGGGCGUAAAGCGCACGCAGGCGGUCUGUCAAGUCGGAUGUGAAAUCCCCGGGCUCAACCUGGGAACUGCAUUCGAAACUGGCAGGCUAGAGUCUUGUAGAGGGGGGUAGAAUUCCAGGUGUAGCGGUGAAAUGCGUAGAGAUCUGGAGGAAUACCGGUGGCGAAGGCGGCCCCCUGGACAAAGACUGACGCUCAGGUGCGAAAGCGUGGGGAGCAAACAGGAUUAGAUACCCCGGUAGUC
Molecule: ribosomal RNA, 465 nt
Filed under: uncultured Klebsiella sp.
Lineage: Bacteria; Pseudomonadati; Pseudomonadota; Gammaproteobacteria; Enterobacterales; Enterobacteriaceae
Description: bacterial SSU rRNA
Rfam family: Bacterial small subunit ribosomal RNA
Source: RNAcentral